This 507-nucleotide ribosomal RNA is filed under the name uncultured bacterium. RNAcentral's name for it is "bacterial SSU rRNA". It matches the Rfam family "Bacterial small subunit ribosomal RNA", at positions 24 to 518 of the family's 1533-position model. The record is from RNAcentral.
UCAGGACGAACGCUGGCGGCGUGCCUAACACAUGCAAGUCGAGCGGGACAUACGACGGAACCAAAGUUUCGGAUGGAGGUGAAGAUGUAUGUUCUAGCGGCGGACGGGUGAGUAACGCGUGAGCAACCUGUCCCUCACAGGGGGAUAACACAGCGAAAGUUGUACUAAUACCGCAUAAGACCACGGUAAGACAUCUUACAGGGGUCAAAGGAGCAAUCCGGUGAGGGGUGGGCUCGCGUCCGAUUAGAUAGUUGGUGAGGUAACGGCCCACCAAGUCGACGAUCGGUAGCCGACCUGAGAGGGUGAUCGGCCACAUUGGGACUGAGACACGGCCCAAACUCCUACGGGAGGCAGCAGUGGGGAAUAUUGGGCAAAAUGGGGGGAACCCUGACCCAGCAACGCCGCGUGAGGGAAGAAGGUUUUCGGAUCGUAAACCUCUGUCCUUGGUGAAGAGGAAGAGACGGUAGCCAAGGAGGAAGCCCCGGCUAACUACGUGCCAGCCGCCGC